This 443-nucleotide ribosomal RNA is filed under the name Merica undulata. Its description in RNAcentral is "eukaryotic LSU rRNA". It matches the Rfam family "Eukaryotic large subunit ribosomal RNA", at positions 2393 to 2828 of the family's 3401-position model. The record is from RNAcentral. Lineage: Eukaryota; Metazoa; Mollusca; Gastropoda; Neogastropoda; Cancellariidae.
AUCAGCGGGGAAAGAAGACCCUGUUGAGCUUGACUCUAGUCCGACUUUGUGAAGAGACAUGAGANGGUGUAGCAUAGGUGGGAGCGCGAGCGACCUUGAAAUACCACUACUUUUAUCGUUUCUUUACUUAUUCAGUCGAGCGGAGAGCGGGGCGCAAGCCCCUAGCUUCUGGAAUUAAGCUCUCGACCUCGUCGCCGAGGGCGAUCCGCUCUGAAGACCUUGUCAGGCGGGGAGUUUGACUGGGGCGGUACAUCUGUCAAAAGGUAACGCAGGUGUCCUAAGGCGAGCUCAGCGAGGACGGAAACCUCGCGUAGAGUAAAAGGGCAAAAGCUCGCUUGAUUUUGAUUUUCAGUACGAAUACAGACCGUGAAAGCGUGGCCUAUCGAUCCUUUUGACUUUAGGAGUUUUAAGCAAGAGGUGUCAGAAAAGUUACCACAGGGAUA